GGAGAAUGCACGCAGAAGGAACGACGAGGGAGGAGGACGCACAGCAAACGACAUGGGAGGAGGACGCACGCAGAAGGAACGACGAGGGAGGAGGAUGCUCGGCGAAUUAGAGAAAGUCGAGUGUUUUCGAUGGCCCGGUACCGGACCUAUGGUCCAUCAAGCGGCUGACCUUCCAGAGGGGAGACGUCCCGGUGGUCUUUGCUGUGGUGGACCACGGAGACAUCUCCUUCUACACCUUCAAAGACUUCCAGCUGCCCACUGACGUUUACCCCUGAGAUCUCACCGCUCUUUAACGUCACCGUCACACACGGGCCAACACGUAUCCAGGACUUUUACAUUCAUCUGCAUCUGUUGGGUCGGCUGGACGUCCAAAGAUAUCAAUAAAUCCAAUCGUUUAUGUUACAGAUGAAAAAACUAAUCCUGAAACUUGUAUUUUGUGUGUUUGGCCAGUGAUUUACAAUGAGGCUGGUUUUACUGCCAAAGUUCUUUUUCU
Molecule: long non-coding RNA, 493 nt
Organism: Cottoperca gobio
Lineage: Eukaryota; Metazoa; Chordata; Actinopteri; Perciformes; Bovichtidae
Exons: 2
Source: RefSeq, a predicted model, not a curated record